Molecule: long non-coding RNA, 215 nt
Filed under: Cyanistes caeruleus (blue tit)
Lineage: Eukaryota; Metazoa; Chordata; Aves; Passeriformes; Paridae
Description: lncRNA (ENSCCEG00000020021.1)
Source: RNAcentral
UCUUUUAUGUUCAAGGGCUGAGGCAUUGACAUUGGGCACCUACUGAGCAGGGACUGCUUUGAGGCCAGUUCUGGAGGCUUCACCCUUUUGACAACUUAGCUGCUGCAAUGAUAGAUGGAAUUAUGACACCUUGUACAAGACCUUCCAGGUAUAGUCAUUAUCAAACAUAAUUUUACUUUCUUACUUCUUUUUAUUUUAUAAAUUGAAAAAAAUAU